RNAcentral lists this long non-coding RNA (15311 nucleotides) under Citrus maxima (pomelo). RNAcentral's name for it is "long non-coding RNA (CMAX_LNC002683)". The record is from RNAcentral. Lineage: Eukaryota; Viridiplantae; Streptophyta; Magnoliopsida; Sapindales; Rutaceae.
GUUCUUUGGUAAAGGUUCACAGGUGUACUCUCAGUUUCUGUUUUGACAUCCAUUUGCUUGCCUUCAGCACCAGAUAUGGAAACUUCAGUCUGCAAAAACCUAGCCACAUAUUACCUCUUAAGCAAUCUAAAUGAUUUAAUAGUAGAAUAAGCCCAACAUCUUAUGUUAAAAGAGUAGAAAACCAAGAACCUAGGGCAUCUCCUUUUGUGAAAAAUUAUUGUGAUAAUAGGGCAUUAUGUCAUUACAUUUUACUCUUUCUCAACAAAUACAUAAUAGAAUUCAAUUGAAAUGUCAUAAUGACAACACACAAAACAAGCAGCAUAUGUUAUAUAUUUCAUCUGCUGAAACUUAAAACAAAAUCAAUUGUGUAAACUUCAAAACUUAUCAAAUAAUCAUAAAAAACAUCACCCUUAGGGUUUCUAAAAUACUAGAUACACUGCACGAAGACCAUCUUUUUUCACAUAUCUUGUAUAUGAAUGAAUAUAGCGGAGAUAAAUAUACUAGCUAGUUAACUUCCAAAAUCUUCAAUUGCCCGAGUGACGAUCCACGUGUAUAAAAGGUUGGUUCAAAAUGUAGCAAGGCUUAAUAAACCUCAUACAUAUUUAUUUGAUUCCAAGCACUCAACAAUUUGGAGUGCAAGACAUCACACAAGAUCAGGUAAAAACCUAUCAUUUCACUAACAAAAACAGCAGCGUUAAAGUUGUGAAACUAAUUUUAUAAUAACCCAUGAAGCCCAAAAUCAGAUAUAGAUGUUUAUCACCAAACCACACUACAAACACAUAUUAUGGCAUUCCAACUCCAUCCCAACAAUUCAAACUAAAAUAGGAAAAUUAUAAGAGAAGAAACUGACCAAAAUUUUCAUUUGCUGCAAGCCCAACAACACUUACUUGAACUUCCCAUUCUUGGUGAGUCGUCUAUCCCCAAUUAAUUCAUCCUCAAAUGCUUCAAUUGUCGAUCUUAGUAUUGAACGAAAGGUUAUAGUAAUGCGUUCGUUUUGUAUUGCGAGUCAACCCUACUACACUUAAAAAUUCAGGAGCAUCCAAAUAUUUACUCUAUUGAUUUGUUCCAUCAAUGGAUUAAGCUAAACUUGUAGUUAAUUUAUCAACUCUAAAGAAUGAUACACUGAGUUUUGUAAAAAAUGUCAAUAAGCAACAAUAUUUGCAUCACCAUGAAGAUAAAGUUGGCCUAAUCAAAUGGCUAGUCAAAUAUAUAUAUGGAUGUAUGAGAAAUGAUCCAAUUUAAAAUUUUAAAGUGAGAGAAAGUUUGAGAAAAUGCAUAAACCGUGCGGUUUAAACGCUUUAAAACUGAAGCAAUCCAUUUACAACUAAAAAAUUCUAUAGAACCAAAAACAUAAAAAAAAAACACAAUACAAAAUAAAUUAAUCCGCAUUUUGGAAAAAUUUGGAGUCAAAUUUCAAUUGCAAGAAAUUAUAUACAUAUUCUGCAAAGAGGGGUGCGGUGGUGUGUUCAUGUCACUCAAAACUUGCAUGCACUUGAGUAUACAUAUUCUGUAAAGAGGGUGCAGUAGUGCAUUCAUCUCACUCAAAAACUUGCAUGUGCUUGAGUUUGGUGGCAGAACACACUACCACACUCCAAACCAUCUGAUUUUGUCUUCACCUAUUUUUUAAGUUCACAAUGCAAGUAUGUAAGCCCAGCAACACAAAAUUGUUCAAAGAAAAGCAUGUUAGAGCAAAUCAAGAAUCCAUGUCACAACUACAGUUCUUUUAUCUCUUUUUCUACAAAAAUUAUGGGGCCAACAACUUUCUGAAUUGCCUUAUCUCACAAGGACUAAAUGACAUUCAAGAGAACCUAUAAACAACUUAUGAGAAAGUCCUUGAAAAAAUCACUGCACAAUUCCUAAACUACCAAGAUCUUGUAAUUUUUCACCCAAUAUUGCAUGGCCGCCAAUCUAGUACAUUGCAUCAUGUUCGUAGUGAAAACGGCCCAAAAAUAUAGCCAAAAAGUAGUUAACCACAUAGCAUAGAAAUAUUCGCUAUACACUUGUUCAAAGCUCAACCCCAUUAUCAAAAUCCACAAACAUAAUGUGUAUGAUGUACAACUAUGUUGUACCCAAGGGAAAAAUUAGUAUUGAAAAAUAUUCUAAAAAAUGAAUAAAACUCAACUAUUCAAUUGAAGAAAAUAAUAAUUUAUGUACCAUACUAAAUUCAAAUACAUAUCCAAGACCAAAAGGUACCAAGACAGCAAAUAAACAAAAGGUGAACCUCCAGUUUUUGAAGCAAGUCCUCAGUUUUUCACAUUGUUGUCCCCCUGCAUUGUCAUCUCCGUCUCCUCAUUGACCUGCUAACUUGUCACCCUCCGCCACAACUUCUCCAUUGCAAUUUUUGCAGUCAAAAGAAUCACCUUCUUGAGAAACCAACCUCAAUUUUUCUAGAUUACGCCUACAAGAAUUCCUCAAUCUUUUAGGAAUAAAAAACUUAUUUACAUGUAAGAACAUAUAAAGUAACUUAAAAUAAAAUAAGAAAAAGAGUAAAAAGUACAUUUGCGCACAAUUAGUGCAAAUGUACUAAUGACCUAUAUUUUUGUUUUCCAGUUCAUCCUUUAGACUUUUCUUCAUAUGGUGUAUUAUGUACCUAACAACAUCAUAGAUCUGCAGAAUAUUCCACACUGGGUCUUUAGCUAGUUCAAAAGAAAGAUUGAUCAAUAUAAGAUAAGAUAAAAUGAACAAUAAAGGCCGAACAGGAAAGUAAAUGGUUCUUUUGACUUCAUGGUCUAAAUAAACCAAUAACAUCCAAUAUCAUGUUUUGUUAUGAAAAGAUAACCUAUGCAUAUUCUAGACAAUAGAAAAUGUCAGUGUCUCUCUUGCAUUCCUGAGUAACUAGUUUUUCUUCCUCAAAAAAUGGUAAAGUGCAACAUAGUUGCUUUCAUGGCAGUUUCAAUUCCCUUGCUAAAUCUUCUUCGCUAAUUCAUUGUUAUUUAAAUGGAAAACAAAACAUUAGCAAAUAAUAAUAGUUUUAGGGCUUGCCCUAAAACUGAAUGUUAGCUUAUAAAAUAAUGGAAAUAAACAUUCACAUUAUUGUUCAUAAGUCAAAUAUUUAACAAGAAUAUUCUUUAACUAACCAAUAUAAGAUAUUAUAUUAAUUCACAUGAUUUACACUUGAUCGCAAGGCUAAAUGAUAGACAAGCUCAAGACCAAGCUUAACUCUCCAAUGAACAUUAUCAAAUAUUAAAAAAGACACAUAGUUGCAUUAUAAAAAUGAGCUAGCAUGAGGUAAAGAACACGACAAUAGUAGAAGAAGUAAAGCAGUUUUCAUGCCUAAGCAAAGUAGCCAAGCCAUGAGAGGCCAGAGCCAAGAGUCAAGAAAGUUUUUAGCAUCAAGUUCCAAGUAGUAAUCCAACUUUAAUUAGCAAUUUAUUUCGCCAAUUUCUCAAAGAAGCUUUUUUAACAGCAACACAAAGACAUUGAUUAAGCGAUUGAGAUUAUGUUCUUCAAGCAACAUACUUGUAGAUAAGCAUAACAAGCAUAUUGUCAUUGGAUAAGUGUAAUGCGCAGCAAUCCCGUGCAAUAUUUAAACGACUUCUAGCACGCAAGUCGCUAAGUAAACCUAAUGAUCUUUUCAAAUUAGCCAAGCAAGGAUGCUUACAACAAUGCUAGAGAGAAGAGAGCAAUAUAGCCAAAUAUAAUUUUAUUAUUCACAAAUGAGAAAAUUACAAGAGAGUUUUUUACAAGAGCCAGAGAGCUUGUGUGUAUUAUGUGUGUGCUGGUGUUGUGCGUGUGUGGUCUGAUGUUGAGCAAAAAUGGCAAAUGCCAUAGGAUAUUUAUAGGCUUGGAUGCCAAGCUCUUGAAACUUCCUAGCAACUUGCAUAAAUAUCUCCUAAGACUUGAAUGCACAAUUUUAGAAAACUCUAGGUUAUUUAAAAUUGUAAAAAAGUCUAGAAUUCGGGCCGGGCUUGGUUGAUCACUAAGCGCACCACGGUUGGCUAGUUGUGUUGGGCGACCCAUUGCUAAGCGCAUCCCACUUCUAAGUACAUCCCACCUUUUUUGCUGAGUGCACUCCACUUCUAGGUGGACUUUUACAAAGCGUAACUGCAUACGCAAAGUUAAUAUUUGUUUGCAAGAGAUUUAAGCGGCCUGUGACAAUCCUCCCCCACCUAUGCUCGCAGCAUCCUCGUCAUGUUCUCGUGCUUUGUAGUUUUACAUGUGUUCCGCGAAUUGCCAUAGGUCUUCUUUGCGUUCCCACGUUGCUUCGCUCUCAGAGAGGUUUUUCCACUUGUGACGCAUGCAGUCAUUUGCUUCCUUUGCAUGGUGUAGUGGCAUUUCAAGUUGUUGAGCUUCAAACUCUCGAAAGCUAUAAGAUGGCCUUUUUGGAUGAGGACUCCACCAAUGGCGAAGUCGGAAGCAUUUGUUUGGACUUCGAAUGGCUUUGUGUGGUCUAGAAGAAUGAGGACCAGUUCCUCGAAGAUAGUCUUCUUCAAGUUUUCGAAUGCACGUUGGCACUCUUCGGACCAAUGCCAUGUUCAGUUCUUCUUGAGUAGAUCGAUCAAGGGUGCCGCCUUGGCCGAGUAUUCCUUGAUCAAGCAGGCAGUAAUAAUUUACCAAUCUGAGAAAAGACCGAAGUUCGAGUACUUUGGUGGGAGGCUCCCACUUGAUAAUGACCUUCACCUUCGAGUUCUUCAUCAUUAACUUCUUGUCUGCUAUCUUGUGACUAAGAAACUUUACCUCUCGUUGAGUAAACGAAGAUUUAUCCAACUUAUGGUAAAGUUCGUUUUGCAUAGUGCUUGGAGAAUCUACCGCAAGUGUUGCACAUGUUUCUCCUUUGGCGAUGCGCACUUGAUAGUACCCGGAUUGCAAGUUAAGCUUGAUAAAGUACCUGCUUUGCCAAGUUGAUCGAAGAGAUCCGCUAUCGAAGGGAUUAGAUACUUGUUCUUGAUCGUGAUUUUGUUGAGCGUGCUGUCACGGGCCGCUCAAAUUUUCCACCAACAGAGGCUAAUUCGACGCGCACGGGUACAUUUAGUAAAUGUCCAACUAGAAGCGUAGUGCGCUCAGCAAUAAAGGCAGGAUACGCUCAGCAAUAAAGGCACAAUGCACUUAGCAAUGGACCGCCUAACACAAGUAGCCAACCGUGGUGCGCUUAACGAUCAUCCAAGCCCGGCCCGAAUUUUAGAUUUCUCUACAAUUGUAAAUAACCUAAAAUUUUUUACUUUUGUGGAUUUAAGUCUGUAAAGAUAUUUAUGCAAGUUGCUAGGAGGAUUCAUGUGCUAGCACCCAACACCUAUAAAUAGGGGCAAGCCUUCCUCAUUUACUCACCACCACACCACACACACACAAGCUCUCAAGCGCUCUUGUAAAUUUUCUUUAGUGUGUAAUAAAAUUAUAUUUAGCCAUAUUGCUCUAGCUUCUCUCUAGCAUUGUCUCAAUCAUCUUCACUUGGCUAAUUUGAGAAGUAUUCUAUACUUACUUAGCAACUUGUGUGCUAGAAAUCGUCUAAGUGCCUCAUAGGUUUGCUGUGCAAAACACUUAUCCCAUGACAAGUAGUAUGAGAGUUAAAGUUUGCACCCACGCAAGUUAGUUCAACGAGUAAUGACUAACCCUCCUAGCACAACGCAAGAGGGCGUAGUCAUAGUAGAAUUAGUUGAGCCAACUCGUGGCCUCAAGGAAGGACGCACACAUGCUAGGUCCCACGGAAAGUCCAAGGCUGCUUCCGUGGAUGCCUUCAAGCCUCAUGUCGCCAAGCUCGAAACUUCGAUGUCUGCUGUCUAGGACGCUGAUUAACACUUAAAAGUGUACAUGUAAUAAUGAUAAAAUUAUUAAUUUUUCACUUAAAGUGUUGAUUAAUGUACUCAUAACUUAUAAAUUAUAUGAAUGCUCCCCUAAUAGUUUUUUAUGUCAAAUUAAUCUGCAAUAUAUUAAUUUUUAUCUUAUAAAUAUUUUUCAGGAAUAAAGAUGGAAUUGGAAUUGAAAAUGAGAACAGAGAAGAACUGAUGGAGUAAUUUGGAAUGCAUCAUUGAGGAGAUGUAAUUAAUAAAUAUUUUUAAAAAAUAAAAAAAUAAUAAUAAAAAAGAAAAGAAAAGAUGAGUAACCAUGCUCGUGAUGGUCAAGUGGUCAUCUUACCACCUGACCAUCACACCUCACAAUGUAUAUACAUAUAUUAUAAAAUAAAAUAAUUAAAAAAAAAGAGGAUGCAUCCCUUGCCUAUAAAAGGCAAGGGGAUGCAAGCAAAGGAAGGUAGAGCGAAGCCGAGGAAAUUUUUCUUUCUUUUCUUGUUUUAUGGUGUAAUCAAUUUUAUUAUAAUAUAUUUCAAAAGUUUGUCAAAUAAAAAUAGUAUUUUGUUUUCUUUUAAUAUGAAUCACUAAUUUUACUAAGUUGAGGUGAAGGGUGAAACUCAAGGUUUUAAAUUAUAAAAUUAAUUAUUUUCUCAAGUGAAUUUUGAAUUUAUUUUAUUCUUUUCUAAUUAUUGUUAUAUCAUGUUAAUUUAUAGAUUUUUCUUGAAUUUAUAUAGUAUUUUGACAUAAUGUCGACACAUUAAUAUAGCUGUGACACAUUAGGCACUUGAUUACAUAUUUAUCUACACACAUAAUUAGUUAAAAAUUAAAUGAUAUAAUAAUUAACUAGUAAAAGUGAGGAAAAAUAUAAAAAUGAGAGUAUUUAAACUAUAAUUUAAAUACCAAGAGCGGAUCCUGAACCUUAACAUAUUUUUAAAUUGAUUUCUAGUGAUUUCUUUUCCUGCAAUUAAUUUUCUUUAUUUAACAAAUUGACUACUACUUUUUAAAUUCCUUGUGGUUCGAUCCCAAACUCACCGGGUUAUAUUUUAACUAGACACUAUUAUACUUAGGAGUAAUAAUAAUUUUGAGUCGUGUCAGACACCCUCAACAUUUUAGAGGUAAGGGUCGACGGUCUUAAGGGCGAGUAUGGUGAGUUUAUGGUAGCCACCAAGGCCCUCAUACAAGACCAAGCCGACUCCUUCCGAAGGGAGUCUUGAGCCUUUCAUGAUGAGUUGCUGAAAUUGCAUAGCUUCAUGCAAAGCGAGAUAUGAGCGAUCCGUGCGGAGGUCGACGAAGUCCACUUGGAUUAGGCUUGGCACAAGUUCACUCUCUGCUAGCUCGACUUCUGCUAGUUUGAGUGACUUGUCAAAGCCACUCGCGCCUUAUCGACUUGUCAAAGCGAGACACUUACGAUGGUGCACACAGUGCCAUCGUUGUGGACAACUUCUUCUUUGGACUAGAGCAAUACUUCGAUGUCAUGAGUGUUCGUGAUGAGGAAUCAAAGGUAAGCCUACAUUCUUACGAGGCGCCGCACAACUAUAGUGCGGCAAAGCAUAGGGAGAUAGGCAAUGGCAUAUGUACCAUCAACACAUGGGCUAAGUUCCAACAAGAACUCCGCAAGCAAUUUGCCCCAAGCACGCGGAGAAGGAAUAACGUCCGCAAUUACAUCAACGACUUCACUACCUUUGUGCUCGAGAUCUCCAACAUGUUCGAUAAGGACUCUCUUUUCUACUUCCAAGAUGGCCUCAAGGAUUGAGCCAGGGUGGAACUAAAUAGACUUGGCGUCCAAACUCUCGAUGAUGCCAUUACCAUUGCGGAAUCACUCGCCGAUUACUUCGCCCAAUGCAAGGACAAAGAGGCCUAGCUAUGGAAAAGGUGGGGGAGAGGGUUGGAAGGACAAAGGCCACAACCAGAAGGAUUGGGGGUAGAAAAAGCCUCCAAGCAGUAAGAGCGGGCAAAGCAAAUAAGAGAAACAGCAGCCUAAAAGCCCAUGCUUCAUAUGUAAUGGCCCUCAUUCAGAACGCGAUUGUUUAAAGAAGAAGUCGUUUAAUGCUCUAGCAGCCCAACUCAAGGAUCACUCCAUACCGUCGACAGAGGAACCCCAACACAACAUGUGUACCCUCCAACGCCUCGGCGUACUCAAGAGCCACCUGCCUACACCCACGAAAAAAAGGCUCAUGUAUGUGAGUGCAUCCAUCAACGGCCAUGCCAUACGUGUGUUGCUAAACACCGGAGCCACACACAACUUUAUUUCCAAAUAUGAGGCCAAGCACCAAAGCCUUAAGGUGACGAAAGAAGAGGGCAUCACGAAGCAGUAAACUCACCUACCAAGCUCAUCACAAGCACCGCACAAGGAGUGCGUGUAACACUCGAGACAUGAAGUGGAAAGUUUUAUUUUUCUAUAGUGCUUAUGAAGCACCAUGAAGGCAGUAAACUCACCUGCCAAGCCCAUCACGAGCACCGCACAAGGAAUGUGUGUAACACUCGGGAUAUGAAAUGGAAAGCUCGACUUCUCCAUCGUGCCUAUGAGGCACCAUGAAGGCAGUAAACUGACCUGGCAAGCCCAUCACGAGCACCGCACAAGGAGUACAUGUAACAAUCGGGACAUGAAGUGGAAAGCUCGACUUCUCCAUCUUGAAGUGGACGACUUAAAGAUGGUCAUUGGCAUGGAGUUUUUCAACCAAGUCCAUGCCUUCCUACUAUCGACCAUGAACUCUUUAAGCAUCAUCGACGAGAGUAUGGCAUCCAUGGUUCCUGCCGAGCACUCCAAGACAGCAGACAAGACGCUAUCAGCCAUGCAAUUUAAGAAAGCUUUCUAGAAAGACCCAAGCUUCUUGGUCUCUAUUCGGGAGUUGAAUAAUAGAGAAGAUCGCGGAGACUCACCGAGCCAAGUACCUCUUCUCAUCCAAGGAGUCAUCGACGAGUUCAAAGAUGUCAUGCUUUCAGAGCUACCGAAGAAGCUCCCACCUAGACAAGAGAUGGACCGCGAGAUUAAGUUAUAGCAAGGCGCAAAACCACCAACCUUGGCGCCCUACCGCAUGGCGCCACCCGAACUUGAGGAGUUGAUGAGACAACUCAAAAACUUGCUGGAUGCAGGCUGCAUCCAUCGAUCGACGACUUUAUUCAAUGCACCCAUGAUCUUUCAAAAGAAGAAAGACAGAUCGUUGCGAAUGUACAUCAACUAUCGCGCACUUAAUAAAAUUACAAUCAAGAAAAAAUAUUUAAUUCCCUUGAGGGCAGAUUUGUUCGACCAACUUGGCAAAGCUUGAUACUUCACCAAGCUUGACUUGCGGUUUGAGUACUAGCAAGUACGCAUCGCUAAAGAAGAUGAGCCAAAGACGGUAUGUAUGACCAUGUGCGAAUCUUUUGAAUUCCUUGUUAUGUCGUUUCGUCUCACCAAUACACCUGCCGCCUUUUGUACUCUUAUAAAUAAGUUCCUCCAGUCAUUCCUCGACGCUUCGUCGUUGUAUACUUGAACAACAUCGUGGUGUAUAGCACCAUGCUCUAGGAACAUGCGCAAUACUUGCAGCAAGUUCUCCAAGUACUACGCGAGAACAAGCUCUACCUCAAGAUGGAAAAAUACUUGUUUGCUCAACGAGAGGUAGAGUUCCUCAGGCAUAAAAUAUCGGACGAAAGAAAAACUAAUAAAGGAGAACUCUAAGGUGAAGGCCAUCAUCAAGUAAGAACCUCCCAACAAAGUACCCGAACUCUGAUCAUUCCUCCGACUGGUGAAUUACUACUGCUGCUUCAUCAAUGGCUAUUCGGCUAAAGUGGCACCCUUGACUGACUUUACUCAAGAAGAACCGGACAAGGCAAUGGUCCAAAGAAUGUCAACGUGCAUUCGAAGAGUUGAAGAAAAAAUUUUUUAUGGAACUCAUCAUCGUUCUUUCGGACCACACAAAGCCUUUCGAAGUACAAACAGAUGUCUCCGACUUUGCCAUUGGUGGAGUCCUCAUGCAAAAAGGCCACCCAAUAGCUUUUGAGAGUUGGAAGCUCAAUGACACGAGAUGACGCUACACCGUGCAAGAAAGGUAAACGACUGCAUGCAUCACAAGUGGAGGAACCUUCUCGAGAGUCCAGCUAUGUGGGAACACGAAGAUGACCUAUGGCAAUUCGCAGAACAUGUCCAAAACUACAAGCACUAGAACGCGACGAGUACGCCGCGUGCAUAAGUAGGGGAGGAUUGUCACAAGCCGCUCAAAUUUGCCACCAACGAAGACUAAUUCCGCGCGCACGAGUACGCUUAGUAAAAGUCCGAAUAGAAGCAGAGUGCGCUUAGCAGCUAGGGUGCACUCAGCAUUAAAGGCAUGAUGCACUUAAAAGUGUGAUGCGCUUAGUAAUGGACCACCUAACACAAGUAGCCAACCAUGGUGCACCUAGCAAUCAUCCAAGCCUAAUCAAAAUUCUAAAUUUCUCUACAAUUAUAAAUAACCUAGAAUUUUCUAGUCUUGUGCAUUUAAGUCCCUAUAAAUAUUUAUGCAAGUUGCUAAAAAGAUUCACAUGCUAGCACUCAACACCUAUAAAUAAAGGCGAGCCCUCCUCAUUUGCUCACCACCACACCACACAUACAACCACCAGUACACACACAAGCUCUCAAGCGCUUUUAUAAAAGCUCUCUUGUAAAUUCUUUUUUGCGUGUAACAAAAUUAUAUUUGACUAUAUUGCUCAUGCUUAUGUUUAGCAUUGUCGCAAGCAUAUUCACUUAGCUAGUUUGAGAAGUAUUUUAGGCUUACUUAGUGACUUGUGUGUUAGAAGUUGUCUAAGUGCCGCACAAAUUUGCUGCGCAAAACACUCAUCCCGUGACAGCACAAUGUUGAUGCACAUCUGUAAAGAGCCAUCUUUCUUCUUUUAGAAGAGCACGUGUACACCAAUUAGAGCCUUGAAUGGGCGGAUGUAGCCCACAUCCAACAAGUUUUUGAAUUGUCUUUGCAACUCCUCAAGCUCGAGUGAUGCCAUGCGAUAAGACACCAAGGUUGGUGGCUUUGCGUCUUGUUCUAACUCUAUCUCGUGAUCUACCUCAUGUCUAGAUGGGAGCUUCUUCGAUAGCUCCGGAGACAUGACAUCCUUGAACUCUUCGAGGACUUCUUGAAUGAGCAAAGGGACUUGGCUCGACGAGUCUCUGCGAUUUUCCCUAUCAUUCAAUUCCUAGAUGGAGACCAAGAAUCUUGGGUCCUUCCAAAAAGCUUUCUUGAAUUGCAUGGCCAAGAGCGUCUUGUAUGCAAUCUUGGAGCGCUUGGUGGGAACCAUGAAUGGCAUACUCCCGUUGAUGAUGCUUAGAGAGUUUGUGGCCGGUAGCAGAAAAGCAUGGAUUUAGUUGAAAAAUUUCAUACCAAGGACCAUCUUGAAGUCAUCCAUGGACAUGAUGGAGAAAUCAAGUUUUUCGCUCUAUGUCCCAAGUGUUACACGCACGCCUUGUGCGGCGCCCGCAAUGGGCUUGGCAUGUGAGUUCACUGCCUUUAUUGUGCCUCCUUCCUUCGUCACCUUGAGGCCCUCCUUUCUGAAAUGAAGUUGUACGUCGUUCCGGUGUCUAGCAAUGCAUACAUGACAUGGCUGUUGAUGGACGCACUCACAUACGUAAACCCUUGUUUUGUAGGUGUAGCGAAGUGCACCGAGGCAUUAGAGAGUACCCAUUGUCACGAGUCGCCUAAAUUUGCCACCAACAGAGAGGCUGAUUCCGUGUGCACGGAUACGUUUAGUAAAAGUUCGCCUAACAACGGGAUGCGCUUAGAAGUGAGAAGUGCUUAGCAAUGGACCACCUAACACAACUGGCUAAUCGUGGUGCACUUAACAAUCAAACAAGCCCAACCCGAAUUCUAAACUUUUUACAAUUAUAAAUAUUCUAGAGUUUUCUAGAAUUGUGCAUUCAUGUCCAAAAGAGAUUUAAAAAAGUUGUUACGAAAUUUCAAGAGUUUGACGUCCAAACCUAUAAAUGCCCCAUAGUACUUGCCAUUUGCUCACCACCACACCACACACACACAAGUCACACAAGCUCUAAAGUUUUUGUAAAAAGCUCUUUUGUAAUUUACUAGUGAGUAAUAAAAUUAUAUUUGAUCAUAUUGCUAUCGCUUUUCUCUAGCAUUGUUGCAAGCAUCCUUACUUGACUAGUUUGAGAAGUAUUCUAGGCUUACAAAUGGACUUGUAUAAUAGAAGUUGUCUAAGUGCUGCACAAGUUUACUGCGCAUUACACUCAUCUGGUGAUACCAUGCUGUAUUGGGGUUCCUCUGUUGACGGUGUGGAGUGACCCUUGAGUUGAGCAACGACGACAUUGAGCGACUUCUUCUCCGGACAAUCGUGUACCCAAUAAGGGCCAUUACAUAUAAAGCAUGGGCUUCAACGCUUAAGCAGCUACUGUUUCUUCGAUUUACUUUACUUGUACGACGCCUCGAAGGAACGUAGGCGUGCCUACUUUUGAUGUCUUAUCACGAACACUCAUGGUAUUGAAGUAUUACUCUAGCCCAAAUAAGAAGUUAUCCACGACAGUGGUGUUAAGUGUACCAUCGUAGCUGUCGGGCUUUGGCACGUCUUGUCGAAGUCGGGCUAGCAGAGUGUGCAAACUUGUGUCAAGCCUAAUCCGAGCAGAUUUCGUCAACCUCGGUACAGAUCGCUCGUAGCUCACUUUGUACGAAGCUACGCAAGUUCAACAACUCUUCAUGUAGUGCUCGAAACUCCCCUCGGAGAGAGUCGACUUGGUCUUGCAUGAGCAUCUUAGUGGUUACCGUGAACUCAUCAUACUCACCCUCGAAAUCGUCGACCCUCACCUUCAAAGUGUGGAAGGUGUCUUGGACAACGGAUAUUGAAGUUUUGAACGUGGCGAUACGAGACUACAAGGUGUCUACGGAAGCGGCCUUGGACUGGCCACGGGACUGAGCAUGUGUGCAUCCCUCCUCGCAGUCACGAGUUGGCUCAAGUGGCUCCACACGACUAGGCCCUCUUGUAAUGUGCUAGGAUGGUUGGUCAUUGCUCAUAAGCUAAUUUGCGUGAGUGCAAAUAUGGCUCUAAUACCACUUGUCACGAGAUGAGUAUAAUGCGCAACAAACCCUUGCUUAAACAACUUCUAACACGCAAGUCGCUAAAUAAACCUAAUGAUCUUCUCAAACUAACCAAGUACUGAUAUUUGCGACAAUGUUAGAGAGAAAAGAGAGCAAUAUGGCCAAAUAUAAUUUUAUUACUCACGAAUGAGAAAAUUACAAGAGAUCUUUUUAUAAGAGUUAGAGAAUUUGUGUUGUAUGUGCGGGUGGUUGUGUAUGGUGUGGUGUUGAGAAAAAAUGGCAAGUGUCAUAGGGUAUUUAUAGGCUUAAAUGUCAAGCUCUUGAAAUAUAAUUUUAUUACUCACGAAUGAGAAAAUUACAAGAGAUCUUUUUAUAAGAGUUAGAGAAUUUUUGUGUUGUAUGUGCUGGUGGUUAUGUGUAUGGUGUGGUGUUGAGCAAAAAUGGCAAGUGUCAUAGGGUAUUUAUAGGCUUAAAUGUCAAGCUCUUGAAACUUCCUGACAACUUACAUAAAUAUCUCCUAGAACUUGAAUGGACAAUUCUAGAAAACUCUAGGUUAUUUACAAUUGUAGAAAAGUGUAGAAUUCGAGCCGGACUUAAUUGAUCGCUAAGUGCAUCACAGUUGGCUAGUUGUUUUAGGCGGCUCAUUGCUAAGUGCAUUAUACUUCUAAGCGCAUCCCGCCUUUAGUGUUGAGUGCAUCCCGCUUUUAAUUGCACUCCACUUCUAAGCAGACUUUUACUAAGUGCAACUGUACGAGCAAAAUUAACCUCCGUUUGCGGGAUGAACGGCCCGUGACAAUGUCCGUGACAAUGUGCUCAUUUGGAAAGAUGAGAAAGAGAAAGCCUUCAACAGACACAUUAUCAAAAAAGCAGAAGAAUCUUGAUAAAAUUAAAAAGCAGAAGUGCUACAAAGGUAGAAGACCAAUACAAUUCCAAAUCCUACAGUAUCAGUUUAAAUGGACAAAGUCAGUCCCUUAUUGCAAUAGGAAAUGGAAUUGACAAAUAAUUUUCAAAGAAGGAUGCAUAAAUAACUUGAAGAAUACAAUGGCACAAAGGUGAUGCUCCCCUCAAUGAAAAAUCCAUCAAUAUUUAUUAGAAGAAAACUAUUAAAAGAUUGAAUAUAAUUGUUUGCAGGCGCAGAUUUGAUCGACUCAGUAACAAAAUUUAUUCUUUAUCAAUCUGGACCUAACAUGUUUGAUGAAAAGCCUGAAAGAACUCCUGAGAUCAAAGUUAAGCAGAGUCUCCAACAAAUUCACAAGACCAGAGUUAAUUGCUUGAAAUUGUUAGUCAAAGUUAAAAUCCCUACUUCAAUCAAAAGUAACCAAAUCAAACACAACUUGUAGAAGCGAAAAACAUAGUUUUAAUUCCAAAAUUGAAUAUAAUAAAAUAAUUUAUAGUACAGUACCUCGUGAGCGCAUCAAGCACCACAAUAGCUAUCCCUCUCUUGUCACUCAGUAACAAAAUUUUAUUGAGUUCUGAGUCACUCCGCGUCUAUUAAGUUCCGUCGUCGCCGUGCCGGCAGCUUCACAAUCUCUGCGAGGUAGACAUCUGCUGUUAGGAAGCUAUAUGGUGGUUCUGUUUCUAAGGUUCACUGAAAAUUGGGGUUCUAGGGUUCAGAGAUUACUCUGUGUGAUGCAACCAAAUUUCAGAUUAUCUUUUAAUACCAUCAGAUAUUUUGGCGGCAAAAUCUAUUCGACCAUUUUGCUUACUGGCCUGCAAAUCUCAGGAGGCGCAAAAACUUGGACCAAUUCCAGUCCGCUUCAGCUAGUUACAUGGUUCUGCAGAAAUUUUACAGUAACAUUUGAUAUUGUAAAAUCACUGACUAAUAAUAUUUUAACAUAUGACAAUAACUUUUAAAACUUAAAAAUUAAUUUAUUAAAAGUCAAAUAAGUUUUUUCUUUGCUUUUCUCUCUCUUUUCCCUAUUUGAAAAAUUCAUUUUCCCUCUUGCAAGUUUCAAAAAUAGAAAGCUAAAACGUUAAUAUAUUAAAAGUCAUAAAAAUAAUUAAUUGGGUAAAGCGAGAUUUUUUGACUGCUUCUUAUCUUCCCUGCAAACUCCUCCAUUUUUCUCUCUCCAGCCAUCGUGAGCUUGUCAUCAUCUUCUUCGUCGUUCCAACCAUCUCAUCAGAUUCAGCACCUUUCUAUUAGCAUCAUUGAAAUUUAUUGGUUCUCAUCGCCCUUUUAGUGACCUACCUCAAUUUGUUUUGCCAUUCAUUAGGUAAUUGUUAACUUUUAUUUUGUUUUCUAUUAAUGCAAAAUUAAUUCUACUAUGCCAUGGUUCUCUAAUCUUUUCAUUCAAAUUAAUUAUAGUAUUCAUAAUAAUAUCAGGUUGAUCAUACAAAUGGAUCAUUCUAGUGAUAAAGAAGAAGAAGAACUAGCUCCGAAUAUUUAGGACAAGAUCAAGAUAAAAUUAGGGCACUUUGUUGUAGGGGUAGGCAAAAAAACCGUAGUCUUAAAAAAACCGAACCGAACCGAACCGACGGUUUUUUCUAAUUCGGUUUGGUUUUUAUUUUUUUAAAAAACCGAAUAUACCGUUUGUAAAAAAAAUUGAAAUGUCGGUUCGGUAUUCGGUUCACUUAGCUAAACCGAAAAACCGAACUGAAAAAC